RNAcentral lists this long non-coding RNA (515 nucleotides) under Rhinopithecus bieti (black snub-nosed monkey). Its description in RNAcentral is "lncRNA (ENSRBIG00000045325.1)". The record is from RNAcentral. Lineage: Eukaryota; Metazoa; Chordata; Mammalia; Primates; Cercopithecidae.
GUUUAAACUGGAUGCCAUUGCCUUAACCCUUUCUGCUCUUCUCUUUAUUUGAGGUCUGCCUGUGUGAAGAGGAGGUGCAGUGCACCUUGGCAGUGCAGGCUGUGGGUGUCUGACCAAUAGUGUUUUGGAGAGGAGGGGCAUUGUUUCUCUCUGCACAUGUUCAGAGGAGAGUCAAACCUGACAGCGACCGUGAAAAGCCUGGAGUUUUCAGCCUGCUAGGCAAGCGGUGGUGCCAUAGAGAUUCGGAUCGGGUCCCAGCUCUUCUAUUCUUGAAGCACCCCUGCCCCCUAUACUCUCAUCCUGCAGAGAAAUACUGCUGUACGCUGUGCCUCUUUCCAGCAAGAAAGGUUUCUUCAUCUACUCUAGGCUGCAUUUUAGCAUUUACCCCAAGGCCUAUUAUAAAUGGACAGAAAAUUAAAUUUUUCUUUUUCCUCUUAGGGAGAGAAAACCUAACUAAAUUUCCAACUUAUGACAGUGUAUGUUCCACGUUUUCAUUGUAUCAUGGUCAUGUGUAG